UAAGGCCUGCCCACCUUCGCUUUAUACUCUUCUCUUUGAAGUUUGCUUUUAUUGAUUAAUAAAAAUUAGCCCUAGGCACCGCCUAGUGGAUUAGUUUUUUUUUUAAAAAAAAAAAAAAAACUUUUUGUUUUAAAUAUUUGGUCUUACUCUUUUUUACCUUCUUUUUAACUUCUCCCCUUUUUACAGGUGGAGAGAUGGUGGAGUAGUGGAAAAAACAAAUCUCAAACAAGUUCUCAGGUCUGCAAUUCCCUGAAUGAAUUGCAAAACUUAACAAUCAUAGGCAAGUCAAGGAACAAGAACAAGGGCUUAGACCUGCGUGUUGGAUCUGACUUUCCAGUUAAUUGUCCAGCAAGUCAGUCCAGAAUUAGGGACCUUAACAUCUUAUUUCUGUCAAUGUGGGAUUUCUUGGUGAGUUUGUUUUUUUCUUCUCUUUUUGGUCUGGUGAUUGUUGUGCACAACUCUUGUGGAUCUGUAUUCUGAACUGCAUAUAAAUCUUUCCCAUAUUAAGCUUUGAUAUUUCGUGAAUGCCUAUCUGAGUUCUGAUGUUUGUGCUAGUAUGCUAGUGCACUAGCGAAAUCCAGAAGAUUAUGAUGCACUUUAUAAUUGGGCAUUGGUUCUUCAGGAAUGAUCUAUAGAAAAGGAAAAAGAAUGUGAGAAAGAGAAACCCCAUUAUCUAUGUAUAAUGAUCCGUCUCUUCCUUUUAUAGAGAAACCCCGGUUGUUAUG
Molecule: long non-coding RNA, 725 nt
Organism: Lycium ferocissimum
Lineage: Eukaryota; Viridiplantae; Streptophyta; Magnoliopsida; Solanales; Solanaceae
Exons: 2
Source: RefSeq, a predicted model, not a curated record